UAAAAAUUCUUUUUUGCAUAUCAAAAAGCNGAGGAAAAGAAACCAACAGGGAUUGCCUCAGUAACGGCGAGUGAAGCGGCAAAAGCUCAAAUUUGAAAUCCCCCCGGGGAGUUGUAAUUUGAAGAUUGCGUCUUGGAGGCGACCGUGUCUAUGUUCCUUGGAACAGGACGUCACAGAGGGUGAGAAUCCCGUGCGGCACGGCCCCCGGCUCCUUAUAAGGCGCUCUCGACGAGUCGAGUUGUUUGGGAAUGCAGCUCAAAGUGGGUGGUAAAUUCCAUCUAAAGCUAAAUACAGGCGAGAGACCGAUAGCGAACAAGUACAGUGAUGGAAAGAUGAAAAGCACUUUGAAAAGAGAGUGAAACAGCACGUGAAAUUGUUGAAAGGGAAGGGCAUGCCGUCAGAUUGUCAGUGUGGGUAAGAAGCGGGGUACAAAGACUGUGGAACGUGGCCCUCGGGUGUUAUAGCCGCAGUUCAUGCCCCGUCUCUUUCCGAGGCCUGCUUUGAGGACACCGACGUAAUGACGGUACGCCGCCCGUCUUGAACCACGGACCAAAACCGCAAAAUA
Molecule: ribosomal RNA, 565 nt
Filed under: Kodamaea ohmeri
Lineage: Eukaryota; Fungi; Ascomycota; Pichiomycetes; Serinales; Debaryomycetaceae
Description: partial large subunit ribosomal RNA
Rfam family: Eukaryotic large subunit ribosomal RNA
Source: RNAcentral